RNAcentral lists this ribosomal RNA (441 nucleotides) under uncultured bacterium. Its description in RNAcentral is "bacterial SSU rRNA". It matches the Rfam family "Bacterial small subunit ribosomal RNA", at positions 958 to 1398 of the family's 1533-position model. The record is from RNAcentral.
AACGCGAAGAACCUUACCUGGGCUUGAACCGCACAGGACCAUCUUUGGAAACAGAGACUUCCCGCAAGGGACCUGUGUAGAGGUGCUGCAUGGCUGUCGUCAGCUCGUGCCGUGAGGUGUUGGGUUAAGUCCCGCAACGAGCGCAACCCUUGUCAUUAGUUGCCAACACUUAAGGUGGGGACUCUAAUGAGACUGCCUAGGUUAACUAGGAGGAAGGCGAGGAUGACGUCAAGUCCGCAUGGCCUUUAUGUCUGGGGCAACACACGUGCUACAAUGGUCGGUACAGAAGGUAGCAAAGCCGCAAGGUGGAGCAAAUCCGUAAAGCCGAUCUCAGUUCGGAUUGUAGUCUGCAACUCGACUACAUGAAGUUGGAAUUGCUAGUAAUGACGCGUCAGCUACAGCGUCGUGAAUACGUUCCCGGGCCUUGUACACACCGGAGUA